RNAcentral lists this transfer RNA (68 nucleotides) under Georissa bangueyensis. RNAcentral describes it as "tRNA-Ser". The record is from RNAcentral. Lineage: Eukaryota; Metazoa; Mollusca; Gastropoda; Cycloneritida; Hydrocenidae.
GGUUUUGGCUUGGAGCAAGGUAAAGCUGCUAACUUUGUCUUGAGUAGUUCGAUUCUAUUUAGAAACUU